RNAcentral lists this ribosomal RNA (499 nucleotides) under uncultured bacterium. Its description in RNAcentral is "partial 16S ribosomal RNA". It matches the Rfam family "Bacterial small subunit ribosomal RNA", at positions 28 to 507 of the family's 1533-position model. The record is from RNAcentral.
GACGAACGCUGGCGGCGUGCCUAAUACAUGCAAGUCGAGCGAAGUUUUUCUGGUGCUUGCACUAGAAAAACUUAGCGGCGAACGGGUGAGUAACACGUAAAGAACCUGCCUCAUAGACUGGGACAACUAUCGGAAACGAUAGCUAAUACCGGAUAACAGUAUUUCUCGCAUGAGAGAUAUUUAAAAGUUGGUUAUGCUAACACUAUGAGAUGGCUUUGCGGUGCAUUAGCUAGUUGGUGUGGUAAAGGCCCACCAAGGCGACGAUGCAUAGCCGACCUGAGAGGGUGAUCGGCCACACUGGGACUGAGACACGGCCCAGACUCCUACGGGAGGCAGCAGUAGGGAAUCUUCCGCAAUGGGCGAAAGCCUGACGGAGCAACGCCGCGUGAGUGAAGAAGGAUUUCGGUUCGUAAAGCUCUGUUGUUAGGGAAGAAUGGAUAUGUAGUAACUAUACAUGUAAGAGACGGUACCUAACCAGAAAGCCACGGCUAACUACGUG